GGCUGGUCCGAUGGUAAUGGGUUAUCAGAACUUAUUAACAUUAGUGUCACUAAAGUUGAUUGGUAUACAAUCUCCCACUGCUGAAUUUGGCUUAAA
Molecule: Y RNA, 96 nt
Filed under: Microcebus murinus (gray mouse lemur)
Lineage: Eukaryota; Metazoa; Chordata; Mammalia; Primates; Cheirogaleidae
Description: Y RNA (ENSMICG00000021755.3)
Rfam family: Y RNA
About the family: Y RNAs are components of the Ro ribonucleoprotein particle (Ro RNP), in association with Ro60 and La proteins. The Y RNAs and Ro60 and La proteins are well conserved, but the function of the Ro RNP is not known.
Source: RNAcentral